CCUACGGGAGGCAGCAGUGAGGAAUAUUGGUCAAUGGUCGGGAGACUGAACCAGCCAAGCCGCGUGAGGGAUGAAGGUACAGAGUAUCGUAAACCUCUUUUGUCAGGGAACAAAGGCGGGGACGUGUCCCCGGAUGAGUGUACCUGAAGAAAAAGCAUCGGCUAACUCCGUGCCAGCAGCCGCGGUAAUACGGAGGAUGCGAGCGUUAUCCGGAUUUAUUGGGUUUAAAGGGUGCGCAGGCGGUCUGUUAAGUCAGCGGUAAAAGCCCGGGGCGCAACCCCGGCCAGCCGUUGAAACUGGCAGUCUCGAGUUGGAGAGAAGUAUGCGGAAUGCGCGGUGUAGCUGUGAAAUGCAUAGAUAUCGCGCUGAACUCCGAUUGCGAAGGCAGCAUGCCGGCUCCACACUGACGCUGAGGCACGAAAGCGUGGGUAUCGAACAGGAUUAGAUACCCCAGUAGUC
Molecule: ribosomal RNA, 459 nt
Filed under: uncultured bacterium
Lineage: Bacteria
Description: partial 16S ribosomal RNA
Rfam family: Bacterial small subunit ribosomal RNA
Source: RNAcentral